This is a non-coding RNA of Callithrix jacchus (white-tufted-ear marmoset), 10235 nucleotides long. Lineage: Eukaryota; Metazoa; Chordata; Mammalia; Primates; Cebidae. The record is from RefSeq and is a predicted model, not a curated record.
UAGUCCCAGGCAUUGUGGGAACAGAGUCUCGUCUUCCCGACGUGCCCUGCAGCUCGGGGGCCGAACCCGGAAGUUCCGGGCUGAGCUCCUGGUGCCAACGAGUCUCGUCAGGAGCAGCUAGAAACUGGGGAUAUGGCAGGUCCCGGCCCAGCGCUCUGCCUCUUCGACGUGGAUGGGACCCUCACCGCUCCGCGGCAGAAAAUUACCAAAGAAAUGGAUGACUUCCUGCAAAAAUUGAGGCAGAAGAUCAAAAUCGGAGUAGUAGGCGGGUCGGACUUUGAGAAAGUACAGGAGCAACUGGGAAAUGAUGUGCUUGAAAAAUAUGAUUAUGUGUUUCCAGAAAAUGGCUUGGUAGCAUACAAAGAUGGGAAACUCUUGUGUAAACAGAAUAUUCAAAGUCAUCUGGGUGAGGCCCUAAUCCAAGAUUUAAUCAACUACUGUCUGAGCUACAUUGCAAAAAUUAAACUCCCAAAGAAGAGGGGUACUUUCAUUGAAUUCCGAAAUGGGAUGUUAAAUGUGUCCCCUAUUGGAAGAAGCUGCAGCCAAGAAGAACGCAUUGAGUUCUACGAACUUGAUAAAAAAGAAAACAUAAGACAAAAGUUUGUAGCAGAUCUACAGAAAGAGUUCGCGGGCAAAGGCCUCACAUUUUCCAUAGGAGGCCAGAUCAGCUUUGAUGUCUUUCCUGAUGGAUGGGACAAGAGAUACUGCCUGCGACAUGUGGAAAAUGACGGUUAUAGGACCAUUCAUUUCUUUGGAGACAAAACCAUGCCAGGUGGCAACGACCAUGAGAUCUUCACAGACCCCAGGACCGUGGGCCACUCAGUGACAGCGCCUGAGGACACACGCAGGAUCUGCGAAGAGCUCUUCUGACACCGGAGCAGGAGUGGGGGGUCCUGGCUGACAAGACAGCGUGGGGCAUUUGGUGGCCAGAGCCGAGGGCCCACCCACGUGCUCACCCACCCACAGCCAGCCCAGCCAGGCGAUGCACCCUGUGCCAGGCACAUGCAGUCUGGACCUCCACCCCCGACACACCAUUCCUCCACCUCCAGUGCCAGAGGCUUCCAGAAGGAAGGAGAAAACAUUUGUCAAGAAUGGCUCAGAAGAAUGCCUCCCACAAAAGGUCUUCCCCACCUACCCCCAGCCCCCUAGUCUAAUACCCACCUAAUAUAUGCAAUCACAUAGUUUUGGGGAAACUUCCCCAUCAUCCUAGGAUGAUACAGAAAGAAAAAAUGUGCCUGGACCCUCCCUCUUGGUGGUUCUUUUGAAAACAUAAACGGUUUUUUGUUUUUUUUUUUUGAGACAGAGUCUAGCUCUGUCACCUAGGUUAGAGUGCAGUGGUGCAAUCUCGGCUCACUGCAGUCCCUGCCUCCUGGGUUCAAGCGAUUCUGUCUCGGCCUCCUGAGUAGCUGGGAUUAUAGGUGUGUGCCACCACACGCAGCUAAUUUUCUUGUAUUUUUUUUAGAGACAGGGUUUCACCAUGUUGGCCAGGAUGGUCUUGAUCACUUGACCUCAUGAUCUGCCUACCUCGGCCUCCCAAAGUGCUGGGAUUACAGGUGUGAGCCACUGUGCCCGGCCCUUAAGUGGUUUUAAUGGACCCCUGUGUCAGCAUCAAAAAUGGAAUUUGGUACUGAAAAACAAGGACAGGCCAUCUGCAGUGACCCAUCCCAGGACAAAGUUUACAAACACUUGCUGCCUGUGCAUUGCCUUGAUGAGGGCAGUGAGCAGGGCACGGUGAUGUCCAGGGACUAGGUGCACUUUGUUUUCCCAUGUUUGAGGCUGAGGCCUGCUUGUCAGAUAGCUGGCCAAGUGGCAGCAGACCCCAGGGAGUUUGCACCUCAGCUGGCCCAGAUUUGGGCUGGCUCUGUACUCAUUACACUUGGAAUAGCCGGGCUGCUUCUCUGUCUCUGAGAUGGAGGCAGUGGGAACCAGCUGCCCCGCUGGAGAACUGGCAAUGGCAAAAAGUCCUUCCGUGGGGGACCAGUUCUCACCCAGGUUCAGAGAAACUAACGUGGUAUGUCAGACUUCACCAAAAGGACCUUCUGGUUGCUCUGGCUGGCUUCCCAGAGGCCUUCGUCUCUAGUUUCCCAGGGAUCGAGCCAGACCCCGGCCAGGGAACAGGAAGAGGAGCUGCUCUUCUGUCUGUGCCCACCCAGGCCCUCACCCAGACUCGAUGACUGAGAGGGCUGAGUGCAGCUGCAGCCAUGUCUGUGACCCUCACUCUUCCUACCUUCUGCACCUUCUUCGUGAAACUGGAAGGAUCCCAGGCCACAUCCUUGACAACUGAGAGGGCAGAGUGCAGCUGCAGCCAUGCCCGCAUCCCUCACUCUUUUCUACCUUCUGCACCUUCUUAGUGAAACUGGAAGGAUCCCAGGCCUCAUCCAGAACACAUGGAAGAGAACUUUCCUAGGAAACAGCUCACAUGUCAGUUUUUAGGAUGUGGAACCACUGGGACUCCAUUGCUUGGUGCUGGGGCUGUGUGGCCUCCACUGGGCGCUUGCCAACCUGAGUCUGGGGCCAGGGGGUCCCUGACUGCCCAGCACUCCCGCCCCCAGCCCUCAGCCAGGUUUUCUUAAGGUAUUCCGUCAAACGAAGACAGCUGAGUCUUUCAAAGUUGUUGUAACUGGAGAUGGAAGGUUUCUGCUGCGUCCCCGCCUGCGCAGGGCUGCCCUCAGGCUGGCUUCCUGGGGGUUACUCCAGGGGCGUCUGCUUGCUAAAUGACAGCUAACUGACGCAUGUGCAGUGCUUCCUGGUGCCUUCCACAUGUCUGCAGAGCAGCAGGUUCUACACUUGGCAGGUAAGAGCACGCCCUCCAAAGCUCCAAGCCUAGUUCUGCUGCUACUCACUGCUGUGUGACUUAGGGUAAGUUCAUCUUCGCCUCAGUUCGUUCAUCUGUCAAAUGGGAUAGUCCUUACCACGUAUGGAAUUUAAAGCACUUCGAAUAGUAAUAUGAGCCAUUACUAAUUCAGUACCUCCCUCCCAACCCAGAACCUUUACAAGGUAGGGACAGUCUUCCCUCUGCCUUAGGGGCUGGCAAGAUAAAGACACUGUCACAAGCAAUUUAAACAUGGUAGGCAAGUUUUGAGCCAGAGUAAAGCACAGAGGUUGCACCCAGGCCAGCCUAGCGCUAUUCAAAGUUACCAUCCCCAGCACUGCAGAAGCUGACCCUGAGCUCAAGAUCACCCAGGGCUGAAGCCUCAGGGGAAAGGCCUGGGUUGAACCUGAGCAGCCGGUGAGUGCAGGGCAGGCCUCUGGCUCCCUAGAGGGAGAGGCUAGCCAGGAAGCUGAGCUUGAACCUGAUUCUGAGGGAGGGGCCCAGAGCACACUCCUGAUCUAUCCACCUGUCACUCUCCACCUACUUGAAGGGGAGUGCCCACAGGGGCCAGGAGAGGAACUGGUUGGGCAGUUGGGCUGAUGUUGCCGUAAUCGGGACAUAUCCAGGCAUACGUGGUUUUGAAUCACUUCCUCUCCACCCCUCCCAAGUGUUCUGGGUCUGGGCCCCAGCAGGCCACCUCAGCCCAGGCAGGCUCCUCCAAACCUAACCAGAGGCAACUGGGCCUUCAGACUCCCUGCAACCUCCACGCUGCUCUCCACAGCACCCCAAAUUCAAGAUCAGAGCUCAUUGUUCACUACCACCUUCACCCAAGGCUAGUUUCCUAAAUGUCUUCCCAGUCCCACCUUGAGUUUUUGGGGGUGUUUGUUUGCUUGCUUGCUUUUAGAGACGGAGUCUCGCUGUUGUCGCCUGGGCUGGAGUGCAGUGAUGCAAUCUCGGCUCACUGCAACCUCCCCUUCCUGGGUUCCAGCAAUUCUCCUGCCUCAGCCUCCCGAGUAGCUGAGAAUAUGUGCACCUGCCACCACCUAUUUUUGUAUAUUUUCUAGAGAUGGGGUUUCACCACAUUGGCCAGGCUGCUAUCAAACUCCUGACCUCCGGUGAUCCACCUGCCUAGGCCUCCCAAAGUGCUGAGCCACCACGCCCAGCCUUUAUUUCUUUUUUUUUUUUUUUUUUUUUUGAGACAGUCUUCCUCUGUUACCCAGGCUUGAGUGCAGUGUGGUACAAUCUCGGCUCUCUGCUUCCCAGGUUCAAGCGAUUCUCCUGCCUCAGCCUCCCAAGUAGCUGGGAAUACAGACAUGCGCUGCCAGCCACCACCGUGUUAGCCAGGCUGGUCUUGAACUCCUGACCUCAAGUGAUUCACCCACCUUGGCCUCACAAAGUGCUGGAAUUAUAGGCGUGAGCCACUGUGCCCAUCCCCCACUUUCAGCUUUUGCCAAACCCUACCUCGUGCCACCCAUGUAGUACACCAUAUAGUAAAUCGGCACAUUUCUUUUUGUUUUUGAGAUGGCGUUUCACUCGUUACCCAGGCUGGAGUGCAAUGGCGCGAUCUCGGCUUACCGCAACCUCCGCCUCCUGGGUUCAGGCAAUUCUCCUGCCUCAGCCUCCUGAGUAGCUGGGAUUACAGGCACGCGCCACCAUGCCCAGCUAAUUUUUUAUAUCUUUAGUAGAGAUGGGGUUUUACCAUGUUGACCAGGAUGGUCUCGAUAUCUUGACCUCGUGAUCCACCCGCCUCGGCCUCCCAAAUUUGUUUUGAGCUAAGUGCCUACUUUAGCCUCUCCCUAAACAGGUUUGAUGGGCUGGUUUUAUUUUAUAUACUUUCUCCCAGUGCGCCUUGGAAAUCAUUGUAUAAUACUGGCAAGAAAAAUGUCCAUCUCUCUGAUUGCAGUGGCUCAUGUGGGUAAUCCCGGCACUUUGGGAGGCCGAGGUGGGCAGAUCAUUAGAUCGGAAGAUGAACACCAUCUUGGUUACAUGGUGAAACCCCAUUUCUACUAAAACGACACAAAAUUAGCCAGGCACGGUGGUGGGUGCCUAUAGUCCCAACUUCUUGGGAGGUUGAGGCAGGAGGAUCGACACUGCAGAUGGGAUGGGACAGGAAUGGAUGGGGGAAAGCGGAAGGGAAGGUCUAGGGGGAGGGAAGGCAGAAGGGAUGAGAAGGGAAGGCGGCAGGAAAAGGAAGGGAAGGUAGAAGAGAAGUUAAGGCAAAAGGAAUGAGAAGGGAAGGCAGAAGGGAUGGGAAGGGAAGGUGGAAGGAGAGGAAGGGAAGGCGAAGGGAAAGUGGAGGGGGAGGGGCAGGGGAAGGAGAAGAAAGGGAGAUUCAGGCACAAAGUGGAUUGAAAAGAUAUACAGCCAUGGACUCUCCCUGGGACCUGAAGCCUCAUCUGUUUAAAAGUCCAUAGCAGGGAAGAAUGGUUUGCCGUUGGGACAGUGGGAAUGAGUGUCAGAAGGUAGGGAGGUGUGAGAACCCCUGUUCUUGGUUUACAGAGCAGUGAUUGGCCAGGGCCACUCUAUGGGGGGGCGGGGGGCAUUGUGCUCUGCUGGGGAGGUUUCGUUAUGGCAAGUGUGUCCCAAGUGUAACUUUAGGUGGUGCAGAGAUGGACAUUUUUCCUUUUUUGGGAUAUAGUCUUGCUAUCACCCAGGCUGGAGUAGGGUGGCGCCAUCUCAGCUCACUGUACCCGCUGCCUCUCGGGUUCAAGGGAUUUUGUCAAGUAGCCAGGACCACAGGCUAAUGCCAGCAUUCCCAGCUAAUUGUGUAUUUUUGGUAGAGACCAGGUUUCACCAUGAUGCCCGGCUGGCCUCAAACUCCUGAGCUCAAGCCAUCCACCUGCCUCAGCCUCUCAAAAUACUGGGAUUUUAGGCGUAAGCCACUGUGCCCAACCUAGCAAACAUCCAUCAAAUGUCUGUAACAGCAGCCGGGCACAGUGGCUUCACACCUGUACUCCCAGCACUGUGGAAGGCAGAGGCAAGAGGAUGGACGGCCGCUGGUGGCAUUUUCUGUUGCCAGGAAGCUGCAUUCUCCUUCCUGCUAAGCUUUCUUAUGCUAGAAAAUGAUGAUUGAAGAGUAACAGAUGAUCCCAUCUUCUUAUUCACCACCCCCUAAAAAGACUGACAAGUGUGUCAGCCUUGCCUGAGGGAGACAUCCUUACCUGAGGACUUAAAGGAAAAGCUCCUUGGUGAGCCAGCCUCCACACAGACACAUACACAGCUUUGCACAAAACACUUUAUUGGGAGAAAGACGGCCAGUGGGAGGAAAGGUUGAGGAUUCAGGACUCCUCGACUCUAAUUCUUGGUCAGCCAGCAACACCCUCCAUCCCUCCCAGAGCCUCCAGAAUCUUCACCUUCUGUAAUCUGGUGUCACGUCCCUUCCAGUUUUGACAUCCUGCAGUUCCAGAAUACCUAUUGAUUUAAAGAGCUGUGGCCAUACAGGAAGAACAGCAAGAGCCGCUGGCAAAGGAUUCUGCCAAGAGAGAAUCCAAAGGUUACCCCUGAAUAGCAGAAUGCAACGCCCCAGCUCACCACUGGCCAGAGCACCAGCACACAGGUAACAGCCCUGCCACCAUGCCAAGGUGUGAGGAUGGAGCGGGAGAGGGGCCGGGGGGAGUGAAGGAGCCCUCGCAGGUCUUUCAAAGUGCGGGUCUUAGCUUUGGAAGGGUAGCUGUACCAGCAGAUGGGCCCUUGGGAAACCACCAGGGAACAAUUCACGGCUGGAGAGAAAAAGGCCACCUUUGACCCAGCAGAAGGCAGAGGCCCGAGAGGAGAGUGAGGCGGUACAAGGGGUACUGCGGGCGAAGAAAACACUGCCCAGCACCUCACUGGGAUGGGAACUGGCUGUUUAUCACACUCUCGCAACAAACAAGCAGAUUUGCCUGUUUUAAAACAACUUUGCACCCCUUUCAAAGGCAGCAGUUCCUAGGCUGAAAGGACAAACUUCGGCAGAGCUGGUAAGUACCUGAAGCUGUUCCUGCUUCCAGCAUCAAACCAUCCUCCCUCUUUUCUGAGUUACUGUCUGCCCAAAAGCCAUUCUUUACAAAAGGUUUGCUUCCAUGUGUUGACAGGUGGAUUCUUGAUGACAUACAGGCCAUGUAUUUCAAAAGUGUAAUGCCUAGCUAUUUCUACUUUCAAAUCGUGACUAAAGCCAAACCAAAACCACAGCAAAGAAAAUCUAAGGAUUUGUUUACCAGAAAUACCUACAAAGAAGUUUGCAAGCUGGGUGCGGUGGCUCACGUCUGUAAUCCCAGCACUUUGGGAGGCUGAGACUGGCAGAUCACCUGAGUAGGAGUUGGUUUUAAAGAACCACCCCCCCGCCCCCACCAAAGGUAUACUUCUUCAACUUUCUCAGCUUUGCCAGACUGUCAGGAGGUAAGCUGCCUACUCUUUUCUGGAUCUAUUGGGAGAAAGUUUUUUAAAGAGCCUGCCCUUCCCACCACCGUAAUGAUAGGGGCUGUGAAAUGGCUGUUGAGUGAUGGUCACACGACCAGAAGGCAGGUGAAAAGGUCAGCACUGUUAGGGGUUCAGCUUCCCCUACCAGCCUGCUGUGCCCAGGGUUGGGAGUGCUUGGGGAAACUGUCUUCCCCAGACAGCCAGCUAUGUAAGCCAACUCCCACCGCAAAGGCACCUAAAAGCAAAAUCUGUCCAAUCCAAACCCCUCCUCCAUUUUCCCACCCACUUAAAGGCAGCUCCCCUAGUACCAAACAAGCCAAGAAUUAGACUGUUUUGCCCAGUCCAAGGAGAGGCGCAUGGGGCACUUGCAUGGAAAUUCACCUUGGGGAAGUCAUAUGGGGUCCGUGUUAGCUGCCAGUGGGCCAAAUACAGGGAUUUGGAGCCUGUGGCUCCGGGAGAAAGAGGGAUGCUGUGGGUUGAGCCCAUGUGUGUGAGCAGCUGGAGAAACACCCUCAAUCCACUCCCUGGGCUGGGGUUGUAACCUCCACGCAGCCACCAGUGGGGGCACUUCUACUUUUUAAAUGCUUUUAAUUCUCUUCAGGUGGUGAGAGGUUGUUGCGAUGGUCAGAGGCUGUGCUGGUGGCCAGGAGCACCUCAUGCCUGCCCCACACACCCCUUCCUCCAGGAGAUACUUGAAAGGGCCCAUGCCCCAUCUCAUGUAGAAGAAUGUCAUCUCCAGGGUCUGCCGCCGCCACCUCACCAAGUCUCCCACAGGCACAGAAGGGGUGCUUCCAGCGUCUCCUAGGAGCUGAUGACAUGUCCGGACCAAGUCUCAUGCUUGGUGCCCGGUGCCAGGGCCGAAGACCGGCAUCUGCCUAGCAUCGUGUGGGUCCUUUGCAACCCUGGCACUGUGCCCAUUUUGCAGCUGCAGAAUUCAGUCUCACAUGGAAAGAGACUGUCGUGUGGUAUGUGUGGUUAAAGCCCAGUGAUUCUGACCCCACCCAUUGCCACUCCCAGCUCGUAACAGGUUCUUGUGGGCUGGGCAGUACCCUGAAUUUAGAAGGCACUGUCCCAUUUUCUCACCAUCAGUUCAGCCCCAGGUCUGCCUAUUUGACAGACUGGGACACUGACUUCCAAAAAUGGCCAGAAACCCAUCAGAGAAAGUGUCCCCAGCCAGCUCUAGACUCACGCUGAGAAGGUCCUUGUCCGGCGAGUGGGCAGUGGGCUUGGGACCACGUUGCCCCGCAGAGGGGAUGGUGAGCGCUCUCGGGUCCGAGGGGUGUCCAGCAGCCCAACUGAAGCCUGAUGGGUGGGGGGCUGUGGUGGAGGCGGAGGCUCAGAUGACAUGGCUGACCUGGAAAGAGAUGAAGCUCUCAGGGAUUCCUGCCUUGAAGGUAGGGGCCCAGUGCUUACCCCGUGUCCAGGUCUGAGAGUCCAGUAUCUGAGACCUGUUCCUCUCAGCACCGCUAUCACCUUGUCUGGAAGGAAGCCUGGUGGGGUCAGGUGCCUCCUCUGGGCUCCUGAAGCAGCCAUGAGCCCCCCCCCUUCAAUCAUAGCUCUUCAUGAAAAUGCUACAUCCUCCCCCAUGACCAAGAUGGCAUCUGUCCCCUGUGUCCCCAGGACAAGCCAUGGACCCUGGCACACUUGGGACACAUAGUGACUAUUCGUGGGAGGAAAAUAAGCAGGCCAGGACGAUAAGCAGAAAACCCAAAGCCACAGGCCAGGCACAGUGGCUGCAAUCCCAGCACUGUGGGAGGAUCACUUGAACUCAGGAGUUGGAGACCAGCGUGGCCAACAUGAGAUAGGGUUUCGUUAUAUCGCCAAGGCCAGUUGAGAGCUCCUGGGCUCAAGCGAUCGGCCCACCUCGACCUCCCAAAGAGCUGGGAUUAGAGACGUGAACCACAGCACCCAGCCUCCAACGCUCAUUCUCAGCGGGCAUGAGGAUCCAAAGCCCCAGCUGGCCACGACUGCCCUGGUGUGUGCUCAGCAUCGUGCCCAACCCAGCAGUUGGCGGCUAUAUUCCUGCUCACCUGACAGUGGAAGAACCUGAGGCACAGGGAGCAGAUGUUGACUGGGGCAGGACCUCCUGGGAGACCCAGGAGCUUUAUCCAGCCUCUCACGGCCCAUCUGGGCUGGAGAGUAGCUGGGGUGGCCAGCGCAGGCCUGGCCCAGGGCUACCUAACUCCCCAGAAGGCCCAGCAAAGAGAAGUGAAUGGCCUCAGUGCGGGGGAGGGCUGGGCAAAGUCCAGCUGGAAAGAAAAUAGCUGGGGGCAGGUAGCCAAACACCCAGGAGCCAGCUCUGAGGCCCUGGCCAGCCGCUGCUCUGUCCCCUCCACAAUACACACAUACACCAAGAUGGGGCCACACAGCAGCCCCAGCCCCGCCCAGCUUCCAGCCAGCGACUGCUCUCCCAGCAACACCAGGCAUGGCCUUGUAGUGUCCCCAGGAGAAGGCAAGGCCCACCCUCUGUGACUAGCCGUCAGCUCCCCACAGCUGGGGAAGGAAAGAGGCUGCAAACAGACCUGCUUCUCAAGCCAGCUGGAGGCUCAGGGCCAGACCAGGGAUGAGCUUCGGGCCUGCAACAAACUCGGACCAAACGUCACACCCAAGGCAAGUCAUGACUGCCAGGCUGCGUGUACAUGUGUGCUUGUGUGUGCACGUGUGUAUAUGUGAGCUGCGUAUGUGCACACACAUGUUGUAUACAUGCACAAACUUAUUGCUGUCUGUACACACAGGCCCACGGACCAGGGGACCCUCCCUCACCUGGAACGCUGGGCCCUGUGCUGCCAUAGAGGACCUUGAACACUGCCACUUCCUAGUCAACCAACAGAUGGGGUAGUGGAACAGACCAUUACUACCACCAUCACAGCAGUAUCCUGAGGCCAGCCUGCUUACUACUUACAACACUUCAUACAGCUCAGCUCAUUCCAUCCCCAUUUCACUAAUGGGAGGACAGGACCAAGACACAGAGUCAAGUAACUUGCCCAGGGUCGCCCAGUGAAUAAAAACCGUGGUGAAAUACACAGUA